Molecule: ribosomal RNA, 492 nt
Filed under: uncultured bacterium
Lineage: Bacteria
Description: partial 16S ribosomal RNA
Rfam family: Bacterial small subunit ribosomal RNA
Source: RNAcentral
GAUGAACGCUAGCUACAGGCUUAACACAUGCAAGUCGAGGGGAAACGCCAUCGAAAGCUUGCUUUUGAUGGGCGUCGACCGGCGCACGGGUGAGUAACGCGUAUCCAACCUGCCCAUCACUUGGGAAUAACCUUGCGAAAGUAAGACUAAUACCCAAUGACGUCCCACGAAGACAUCUGAAUGGGAUUAAAGAUUUAUCGGUGAUGGAUGGGGAUGCGUCUGAUUAGCUUGUUGGCGGGGUAACGGCCCACCAAGGCAACGAUCAGUAGGGGUUCUGAGAGGAAGGUCCCCCACAUUGGAACUGAGACACGGUCCAAACUCCUACGGGAGGCAGCAGUGAGGAAUAUUGGUCAAUGGGCGAGAGCCUGAACCAGCCAAGUAGCGUGCAGGAUGACGGCCCUAUGGGUUGUAAACUGCUUUUAUAAGGGAAUAAAGUGGGUCUCGUGAGACUUUUUGCAUGUACCUUAUGAAUAAGGACCGGCUAAUUCCGUG